GGAGGCGAUGAUUUGACUCCGGAAAAUCUGAUCGAUGAUGAAGUCCAGCCCGAAUGAGC
Molecule: small nucleolar RNA, 59 nt
Organism: Pyrococcus furiosus DSM 3638
Lineage: Archaea; Methanobacteriati; Methanobacteriota; Thermococci; Thermococcales; Thermococcaceae
Rfam family: Small nucleolar RNA sR38
Source: Rfam